RNAcentral lists this unclassified non-coding RNA (271 nucleotides) under soil metagenome. Its description in RNAcentral is "partial contains small subunit ribosomal RNA, internal transcribed spacer 1, and 5.8S ribosomal RNA". The record is from RNAcentral.
UUUCCGUAGGUGAACCUGCGGAAGGAUCAUUAACAUGUUGGAGUGGCCUCCGGGCCCGUCCUCCAUAAACCCACCUCUGCGUACCUUUUCCUGUUGCUUCCGCGGGACAUCGAGGCUAGCCUCGGACGUCUGGCGAGGAGGGAUGCCGUAUUCCUCCGUAGCCACGGCGGAGCGCCCGCGGGAGGUUAUCCGAAGAAACCCAUCUGCAGUUGCAAUCAGCGUCUGAAAAACAUAAUAGUUACAACUUUCAACAACGGAUCUCUUGGUUCUG